AACAAACAACAAAGUAGUACCUGACGUUAAUGUCCGCUUCACCAAUGUUGGAGAUGAUGUAACAGUAUCUACUCCAGCAGGAUUGAGCCAUGAACCCCCAAAACCGGUUCGGCUACCAUCUAGGCCACCACCAGACGCUUUUAAAUUCCUUAAAUGAAAGUCAAGAGGAUAGAACAGAAUUAUGUGCAAAACAUGCUGCUUAGCAAAAUGAAUAUUGA
This is a long non-coding RNA of Mizuhopecten yessoensis (Yesso scallop), 218 nucleotides long. RefSeq lists it as uncharacterized. The transcript has 3 exons. NCBI's taxonomy places the organism in Eukaryota, Metazoa, Mollusca, Bivalvia, Pectinida, Pectinidae. The record is from RefSeq and is a predicted model, not a curated record.